RNAcentral lists this ribosomal RNA (445 nucleotides) under uncultured bacterium. RNAcentral's name for it is "partial 16S ribosomal RNA". It matches the Rfam family "Bacterial small subunit ribosomal RNA", at positions 354 to 796 of the family's 1533-position model. The record is from RNAcentral.
GUAGGGAAUAUUGGACAAUGGGCGAAAGCCUGAUCCAGCCAUGCCGCGUGAUAGAUGAAGGCCCUCUGGGUUGUAAAUAUCUUUUAUCUGGGAAGAAACUCCUCUAUUCUUAGAGGCCUGACGGUACCAGAGGAAUAAGCACCGGCUAACUCCGUGCCAGCAGCCGCGGUAAUACGGAGGGUGCAAGCGUUAUCCGGAUUCACUGGGUUUAAAGGGUGCGUAGGCGGGUUGAUAAGUCAGUGGUGAAAGCUCCGGGCUUAACUUGGAAACUGCCAUUGAUAAUGUCAGUCUUGAAUGUCGUAGAGGUAAGCGGAAUGUUGCAUGUAGCGGUGAAAUGCUUAGAUAUGUUACAGAACACCAAUUGCGAAGGCAGCUUACUAUGCGAUAAUUGACGCUGAGGCACGAAAGCGUGGGGAGCAAACAGGAUUAGAUACCCCUGUAGUCC